UGGUGAGAUUGAACCACUUGAGGAGUUGCUUCUCGUUGCUGCUGCUUAAUGAUACACUGGAGCUAUUGUACCAUAGCAGUGAAGACUUGAACUUGCUGGAUAAGAAGACUAAAUUAUUGUGAAUCAGCAACUAGUGGUUGAGUAUUAUUCUAAGCAUCUCUAAGAGAAGAUGAGGCUAGUAGAGAAGGAAUUGGUGCUUUCUUAUUCACUAUUUUCACUAAAAAUUUUCAGAUCCCCUUCUUCUAGCACUAAUCUGUUACUGUAAGGCUCCAAAAGUGAGAUCGGUGCUGAACCUAACUGGAGAGCUGAGAGUUGCAUUGAUAAAAACUAUGGACGAAAUCUGCAAAUGAAGUCCCAAAACUAUAGGAUUCCCUUCGAUUUAGGACCCUUCGAUACUUGAGUCAGUUGGGGCCUUAAAAACAUGUAGUGAAAAUGGAGAAGUAGAAAGUAAGAAGUAAGAGUUUAAGUGGAGAAAAGUUGAGAGAACUUUGAUUUUCUUUAAGAAAUCUAACAGAGUUUUAUCUCUGUCUACUAAAACUUGACUUACCUUCCAG
Molecule: long non-coding RNA, 554 nt
Filed under: Elaeis guineensis (African oil palm)
Lineage: Eukaryota; Viridiplantae; Streptophyta; Magnoliopsida; Arecales; Arecaceae
Description: long non-coding RNA (EGUI_LNC048247)
Source: RNAcentral